RNAcentral lists this ribosomal RNA (269 nucleotides) under Clostridioides difficile. RNAcentral's name for it is "partial 16S ribosomal RNA". It matches the Rfam family "Bacterial small subunit ribosomal RNA", at positions 993 to 1262 of the family's 1533-position model. Lineage: Bacteria; Bacillati; Bacillota; Clostridia; Peptostreptococcales; Peptostreptococcaceae. The record is from RNAcentral.
GACAUCUCCUUAAUCGGAGAGUUCCCUUCGGGGACAUUGGUGACAGGUGGUGCAUGGUUGUCGUCAGCUCGUGUCGUGAGAUGUUGGGUUAAGUCCCGCAACGAGCGCAACCCUUGUCUUUAGUUGCCAUCAUUAAGUUGGGCACGCUAGAGAGACUGCCAGGGAUAACCUGGAGGAAGGUGGGGAUGACGUCAAAUCAUCAUGCCCCUUAUGCUUAGGGCUACACACGUGCUACAAUGGGUAGUACAGAGGGUUGCCAAGCCGUAAGG